RNAcentral lists this ribosomal RNA (1550 nucleotides) under Salmonella enterica. RNAcentral's name for it is "bacterial SSU rRNA". It matches the Rfam family "Bacterial small subunit ribosomal RNA". Lineage: Bacteria; Pseudomonadati; Pseudomonadota; Gammaproteobacteria; Enterobacterales; Enterobacteriaceae. The record is from RNAcentral.
AAAUUGAAGAGUUUGAUCAUGGCUCAGAUUGAACGCUGGCGGCAGGCCUAACACAUGCAAGUCGAACGGUAGCACAGAGAGCUUGCUCUCGGGUGACGAGUGGCGGACGGGUGAGUAAUGUCUGGGAAACUGCCUGAUGGAGGGGGAUAACUACUGGAAACGGUGGCUAAUACCGCAUAACGUCGCAAGACCAAAGAGGGGGACCUUCGGGCCUCUUGCCAUCAGAUGUGCCCAGAUGGGAUUAGCUAGUUGGUGAGGUAACGGCUCACCAAGGCGACGAUCCCUAGCUGGUCUGAGAGGAUGACCAGCCACACUGGAACUGAGACACGGUCCAGACUCCUACGGGAGGCAGCAGUGGGGAAUAUUGCACAAUGGGCGCAAGCCUGAUGCAGCCAUGCCGCGUGUAUGAAGAAGGCCUUCGGGUUGUAAAGUACUUUCAGCGGGGAGGAAGGUGUUGUGGUUAAUAACCGCAGCAAUUGACGUUACCCGCAGAAGAAGCACCGGCUAACUCCGUGCCAGCAGCCGCGGUAAUACGGAGGGUGCAAGCGUUAAUCGGAAUUACUGGGCGUAAAGCGCACGCAGGCGGUCUGUCAAGUCGGAUGUGAAAUCCCCGGGCUCAACCUGGGAACUGCAUUCGAAACUGGCAGGCUUGAGUCUUGUAGAGGGGGGUAGAAUUCCAGGUGUAGCGGUGAAAUGCGUAGAGAUCUGGAGGAAUACCGGUGGCGAAGGCGGCCCCCUGGACAAAGACUGACGCUCAGGUGCGAAAGCGUGGGGAGCAAACAGGAUUAGAUACCCUGGUAGUCCACGCCGUAAACGAUGUCUACUUGGAGGUUGUGCCCUUGAGGCGUGGCUUCCGGAGCUAACGCGUUAAGUAGACCGCCUGGGGAGUACGGCCGCAAGGUUAAAACUCAAAUGAAUUGACGGGGGCCCGCACAAGCGGUGGAGCAUGUGGUUUAAUUCGAUGCAACGCGAAGAACCUUACCUGGUCUUGACAUCCACAGAACUUUCCAGAGAUGGAUUGGUGCCUUCGGGAACUGUGAGACAGGUGCUGCAUGGCUGUCGUCAGCUCGUGUUGUGAAAUGUUGGGUUAAGUCCCGCAACGAGCGCAACCCUUAUCCUUUGUUGCCAGCGGUCCGGCCGGGAACUCAAAGGAGACUGCCAGUGAUAAACUGGAGGAAGGUGGGGAUGACGUCAAGUCAUCAUGGCCCUUACGACCAGGGCUACACACGUGCUACAAUGGCGCAUACAAAGAGAAGCGACCUCGCGAGAGCAAGCGGACCUCAUAAAGUGCGUCGUAGUCCGGAUUGGAGUCUGCAACUCGACUCCAUGAAGUCGGAAUCGCUAGUAAUCGUGGAUCAGAAUGCCACGGUGAAUACGUUCCCGGGCCUUGUACACACCGCCCGUCACACCAUGGGAGUGGGUUGCAAAAGAAGUAGGUAGCUUAACCUUCGGGAGGGCGCUUACCACUUUGUGAUUCAUGACUGGGGUGAAGUCGUAACAAGGUAACCGUAGGGGAACCUGCGGUUGGAUCACCUCCUUACCUUAAAGAA